Molecule: ribosomal RNA, 241 nt
Filed under: uncultured Lactobacillus sp.
Lineage: Bacteria; Bacillati; Bacillota; Bacilli; Lactobacillales; Lactobacillaceae
Description: partial 16S ribosomal RNA
Rfam family: Bacterial small subunit ribosomal RNA
Source: RNAcentral
AACCGUGCCCCAUAGUCUGGGAUACCACUUGGAAACAGGUGCUAAUACCGGAUAAGAAAGCAGAUCGCAUGAUCAGCUUUUAAAAGGCGGCGUAAGCUGUCGCUAUGGGAUGGCCCCGCGGUGCAUUAGCUAGUUGGUAAGGUAAAGGCUUACCAAGGCGAUGAUGCAUAGCCGAGUUGAGAGACUGAUCGGCCACAUUGGGACUGAGACACGGCCCAAACUCCUACGGGAGGCAGCAGGC